Molecule: non-coding RNA, 31 nt
Filed under: Mus musculus (house mouse)
Lineage: Eukaryota; Metazoa; Chordata; Mammalia; Rodentia; Muridae
Source: RNAcentral
UGAAAAGAAGGUAUCAGAAGCUGGACUGUGU